RNAcentral lists this ribosomal RNA (497 nucleotides) under uncultured bacterium. RNAcentral's name for it is "partial 16S ribosomal RNA". It matches the Rfam family "Bacterial small subunit ribosomal RNA", at positions 28 to 507 of the family's 1533-position model. The record is from RNAcentral.
GAUGAACGCUGGCGGCGUGCCUAAUACAUGCAAGUCGAGCGAACAGACGAGGAGCUUGCUCCUCUGACGUUAGCGGCGGACGGGUGAGUAACACGUGGAUAACCUACCUAUAAGACUGGGAUAACUUCGGGAAACCGGGGCUAAUACCGGAUAAUAUAUUGAGCCGCAUGGUUCAAUAGUGAAAGACGGUUUUGCUGUCACUUAUAGAUGGAUCCGCGCCGCAUUAGCUAGUUGGUAAGGUAACGGCUUACCAAGGCAACGAUGCGUAGCCGACCUGAGAGGGUGAUCGGCCACACUGGAACUGAGACACGGUCCAGACUCCUACGGGAGGCAGCAGUAGGGAAUCUUCCGCAAUGGGCGAAAGCCUGACGGAGCAACGCCGCGUGAGUGAUGAAGGUCUUCGGAUCGUAAAACUCUGUUAUUAGGGAAGAACAAAUGUGUAAGUAACUAUGCACGUCUUGACGGUACCUAAUCAGAAAGCCACGGCUAACUACGUG